GCCAGGUGCGGUGGUGCACGCCUGUCAUCCCAGUGGCUCCGGAGGCUGAGGCAGGAGGAUCUCCAGUUCAAAGCUAAGCCUCAGCAACUUAGGCCCUAAGCAAUUUAUGGAGACCCUGUCUCUA
RNAcentral lists this small RNA (124 nucleotides) under Marmota monax (woodchuck). The record is from RNAcentral. Lineage: Eukaryota; Metazoa; Chordata; Mammalia; Rodentia; Sciuridae.